This 204-nucleotide long non-coding RNA is filed under the name Brassica napus (rape). Its description in RNAcentral is "long non-coding RNA (BNAP_LNC014203)". The record is from RNAcentral. Lineage: Eukaryota; Viridiplantae; Streptophyta; Magnoliopsida; Brassicales; Brassicaceae.
GUGGGGAAGAAUUGUAACGAUCCGGUUUUAACAAACCAUAAUUAAAUUUUGGGUUGAUUAUUUAUUUAGACUAAACCAAUCUGAAAAAUAAUUCUGAAAAAUAAUUUCUCCUUAAUGGUUUAGUAAACCAGACAUGCUUAUAUAUUAAUUAUAAAAUGUAUCUAUGUCAUCUUCAGUUCUGUUCUCUUUAAAUGAUUUCAAGGC